Molecule: ribosomal RNA, 487 nt
Filed under: uncultured bacterium
Lineage: Bacteria
Description: partial 16S ribosomal RNA
Rfam family: Bacterial small subunit ribosomal RNA
Source: RNAcentral
GAUGAACGCUAGCGAUAGGCCUAACACAUGCAAGUCGAGGGGCAGCACAAGGUAGCUUGCUAUCUGGGUGGCGACCGGCGCACGGGUGCGUAACGCGUAUGCAACUUGCCCUAUACAGGAGGAUAACCCGUCGAAAGACGGACUAAUACUGCGUAUGCUCACAACUUGGCAUCAAGUGGUGAGGAAAGAAAUUCGGUAUAGGAUAGGCAUGCGUCCCAUUAGCUUGUUGGUGAGGUAACGGCUCACCAAGGCAACGAUGGGUAGGGGAACUGAGAGGUUUAUCCCCCACACUGGUACUGAGACACGGACCAGACUCCUACGGGAGGCAGCAGUGAGGAAUAGUGGUCAAUGGGCGCGAGCCUGAACCAGCCAAGUCGCGUGAAGGAUGACUGUCUUAUGGAUUGUAAACUUCUUUUAUACGGGAAUAACAAGAGUCACGUGUGACUCCCUGCAUGUACCGUAUGAAUAAGCAUCGGCUAACUCCGUG